RNAcentral lists this ribosomal RNA (496 nucleotides) under uncultured bacterium. RNAcentral's name for it is "partial 16S ribosomal RNA". It matches the Rfam family "Bacterial small subunit ribosomal RNA", at positions 29 to 507 of the family's 1533-position model. The record is from RNAcentral.
AUGAACGCUGGCGGCGUGCCUAAUACAUGCAAGUCGAGCGAACAGAUGAGGAGCUUGCUCCUCUGACGUUAGCGGCGGACGGGUGAGUAACACGUGGAUAACCUACCUAUAAGACUGGGAUAACUUCGGGAAACCGGAGCUAAUACCAGAUAAUAUAUUGAACCGCAUGGUUCAAUAGUGAAAGACGGUUUUGCUGUCACUUAUAGAUGGAUCCGCGCCGCAUUAGCUAGUUGGUAAGGUAACGGCUUACCAAGGCGACGAUGCGUAGCCGACCUGAGAGGGUGAUCGGCCACACUGGAACUGAGACACGGUCCAGACUCCUACGGGAGGCAGCAGUAGGGAAUCUUCCGCAAUGGGCGAAAGCCUGACGGAGCAACGCCGCGUGAGUGAUGAAGGUCUUCGGAUCGUAAAACUCUGUUAUUAGGGAAGAACAAAUGUGUAAGUAACUAUGCACGUCUUGACGGUACCUAAUCAGAAAGCCACGGCUAACUACGUG